CCUACUUCUAAAGGAACUGUAGGUGUGGCUACUCUGACACAUGUGCCUCAGUUGGUGGCAGAGAGGAGAGAGGCUAUGUCUACCCUCAGUGUUCUGACCUAUAAACAUCUGAACGUUUAAUAGCCUAACAUU
Arvicanthis niloticus (Nile rat) is the source of this 132-nucleotide small nucleolar RNA. RefSeq annotates it as small nucleolar RNA SNORA17. NCBI's taxonomy places the organism in Eukaryota, Metazoa, Chordata, Mammalia, Rodentia, Muridae. The record is from RefSeq and is a predicted model, not a curated record.